This 258-nucleotide ribosomal RNA is filed under the name uncultured bacterium. Its description in RNAcentral is "partial 16S ribosomal RNA". It matches the Rfam family "Bacterial small subunit ribosomal RNA", at positions 793 to 1055 of the family's 1533-position model. The record is from RNAcentral.
GUCCACACUGUAAACGUUGAUUACUCGCUGUGUGCGAUAUACAGUACGCGGCCAAGCGAAAGCGAUAAGUAAUCAACCUGGGGAGUACGCCGGCAACGGUGAAACUCAAAGGAAUUGACGGGGUCCGCACAAGCGGUUGAGCAUGUGGUUUAAUUCGAUGAUACGCGAGGAACCUUACCUGGGCUAGAAUGCCCUUGACCGAUCCAGAGAUGGAUUUUUCUAGCAAUGACAAGGAGCAAGGUGCUGCAUGGCUGUCGU